GACGAACGCUGGCGGCGUGCUUAACACAUGCAAGUCGAACGGUAAGGCCCUUCGGGGUACACGAGUGGCGAACGGGUGAGUAACACGUGGGUGAUCUGCCCUGCACUUCGGGAUAAGCCUGGGAAACUGGGUCUAAUACCGGAUAGGACCCUGGGAUGCAUGUCCUGGGGUGGAAAGCUUUUGCGGUGUGGGAUGGGCCCGCGGCCUAUCAGCUUGUUGGUGGGGUGAUGGCCUACCAAGGCGACGACGGGUAGCCGGCCUGAGAGGGUGACCGGCCACACUGGGACUGGGAGACGGCCCAGACUCCUACGGGAGGCAGCAGUGGGGAAUAUUGCACAAUGGGCGCAAGCCCGAUGCAGCGACGCCGCGUGAGGGAUGACGGCCUUCGGGUUGUAAACCUCUUUCAGCACCGACGAAGCGCAAGUGACGGUAGGUGCAGAAGAAGGACCGGCCAACUACGUGCCAGCCGCCGCAGUAA
RNAcentral lists this ribosomal RNA (478 nucleotides) under uncultured bacterium. RNAcentral describes it as "partial 16S ribosomal RNA". It matches the Rfam family "Bacterial small subunit ribosomal RNA", at positions 28 to 523 of the family's 1533-position model. The record is from RNAcentral.